Molecule: ribosomal RNA, 403 nt
Filed under: Verrucomicrobiota bacterium
Lineage: Bacteria; Pseudomonadati; Verrucomicrobiota
Description: Verrucomicrobia bacterium partial 16S ribosomal RNA
Rfam family: Bacterial small subunit ribosomal RNA
Source: RNAcentral
UGGGGAAUAUUGCACAAUGGAGGGAACUCUGAUGCAGCGACGCCGCGUGAACGAAGAAGGCUUUCGAGUCGUAAAGUUCUUUUAUAUGGGAAGAUAAUGACGGUACCAUAAGAAAAAGCCACGGCUAACUACGUGCCAGCAGCCGCGGUAAUACGUAGGUGGCAAGCGUUGUCCGGAAUUAUUGGGCGUAAAGAGCGCGUAGGCGGUCGUGCAAGUCAAUCUUAAAAGUGCGGGGCUUAACCCCGUGAUGGGAUUGAAACUGUGCGACUGGAGUAUCGGAGAGGAAAGUAGAAUUCCUAGUGUAGCGGUGGAAUGCGUAGAGAUUAGGAAGAAUACCGGUGGCGAAGGCGACUUUCUGGACGAAAACUGACGCUGAGGCGCGAAAGCGUGGGGAGCAAACAGG